Molecule: ribosomal RNA, 751 nt
Filed under: Kazachstania sp. 2 MES-2012
Lineage: Eukaryota; Fungi; Ascomycota; Saccharomycetes; Saccharomycetales; Saccharomycetaceae
Description: eukaryotic LSU rRNA
Rfam family: 5.8S ribosomal RNA (bases 292-445)
Source: RNAcentral
UCCGUAGGUGAACCUGCGGAAGGAUCAUUAUAGAAAUAUAAUUUUUCGUUGCUUUGCUCUCAGAGACACUACACUGCUGGACCAGCGCUUAGUUGCGCGGUACGGCGGGUCUCUGGGGCUCAGUAGCACUAUUACACACCGUGGAGAUUUUUUAUAAUUCUUUGCAUGCUUCUUUGGGCAGCUCCGGCCGCCCAGGGGUAACAAACACAAACAAUUUUGUAAUUUUAUGAACCAGUCAAAACCAGAAUUCCAGGAAGAUUUAUCUUUUUGUAAUGUUAAAACAAAUAUUAAAACUUUCAACAACGGAUCUCUUGGUUCUCGCAUCGAUGAAGAACGCAGCGAAAUGCGAUACGUAAUGUGAAUUGCAGAAUUCCGUGAAUCAUCGAAUCUUUGAACGCACAUUGCGCCCCUUGGUAUUCCAGGGGGCAUGCCUGUUUGAGCGUCAUUUCCUUCUCAAACAGCAAUGUUUGGUUGUGAGUGAUACUCUUUCGGAGUUAGCUUGAAAUUGCUGGCCGAUGGCUGUUGUGGUUGAGUGUCUUCCCUCGGGGAGAGCGCUUGCUGCGUUAAGGGACGUCCUGCUGGACAUCUUCGUAUUAGGUUUUACCAACUUCGAAGAGGGCUAGCGGGGAGUUCUGCAGUGAGUGUAGUGCUUUAGCUACUGUUGCACCAUGGCGAACAGUGUUCUUUUAAGUUUGACCUCAAAUCAGGUAGGAUUACCCGCUGAACUUAAGCAUAUCAAUAGGCGGGAGGA